This 716-nucleotide long non-coding RNA is filed under the name Homo sapiens (human). Its description in RNAcentral is "HSALNT0110970". The record is from RNAcentral. Lineage: Eukaryota; Metazoa; Chordata; Mammalia; Primates; Hominidae.
AGAUCCCACCAGGAGAAGAUUAAGAGCUUAUUUUGGACUGAAAAUUUAUGUCUUCCAGGAGUGAAACAGCUAAGAAGUAUGAAGGACAUCUUUUCCUCACCAUAGGCGAAGAAGAUAAAUGUCUAUGAGUUGGUGUAAACACAACUGCAAAAGCCCAGCCAAGGGCAUCAGAAAAUGGAACACAUUGAUAAUGACAUGAUGCUGUCACUGUUUGUAGAGUUGAAAAUGUCCCUUCUGAAGAGUGCACUGUGUGUUCAGGCAAGGAUGCCCAUCUCUUGACCCAGAACCCCAGCUCAGUACAGCUUGUGGUAACAACGUUCCCAUGUAUGACUGUGGAUGGUAGAAGGAGAAUUUAACCAUGCUUUUGGAAAGUGCAGGAGUUACAGUGGGAGAGGUUUCUAUAAAUACAAAUUUAAAUGAAUGGUUUACAAGAUACUAUAACUUAUGUGAAAAGGAAGGAAGGAGAAUAUACAUAUUGCACACAGACAAACAUAUGUAAGGCUACACAAGAAGCUGAGAACAGUUGCUACUCUGAGGAGAACAGGGUGGGCCAGGCACGGUGGCUUAUACCUGUAAUCCCAGCACUUUGGGAGGCCAAGGCAGGUGGAUCACCUGAGGUCAGGAGUUCGAAACCAGCCUGACCAACAUGGUGAAACCCUGUCUCUACUAAAAAUACAAAAAUUGGCUGGGCGUCGUGGCAUCCGCCUGUAAUCCCA